RNAcentral lists this long non-coding RNA (221 nucleotides) under Carica papaya (papaya). RNAcentral's name for it is "long non-coding RNA (CPAP_LNC015447)". Lineage: Eukaryota; Viridiplantae; Streptophyta; Magnoliopsida; Brassicales; Caricaceae. The record is from RNAcentral.
ACCACCAGCCAAUCGGCCGAAAAACACUGCCGGAGUCCAGCGGCACCGCCGCUGCUUCCUUCGAUUUUUGCCUCCGAUGAGGUCCUUUUCGGUUCCCGUUCGAUGUAAUUUUUACACUACUGUGAUCACCGUCCUUUUCUCUACAGGUUGACUAGAGCAAAACAUCAAACUGCGACUCGCGUCGGAGAAGUCGCCGCACUCGAGAGCUCCGCCGCCGGUAA